This 368-nucleotide ribosomal RNA is filed under the name uncultured bacterium. RNAcentral's name for it is "bacterial SSU rRNA". It matches the Rfam family "Bacterial small subunit ribosomal RNA", at positions 32 to 371 of the family's 1533-position model. The record is from RNAcentral.
AAUCAACGCUGGCGGCGUGCCUCAGACAUGCAAGUCGAACGCGAAAGGCUCCUUCGGGGCCGAGUAGAGUGGCGCACGGGUGGAGUAACACGUAGGUAAUCUACCUCUGGGUGGGGAAGUAACAGCCGGAAACGGCUGCUAAUACCGCAUAAUGCAGCGGCUCGACAUCGAGACAGUUGUUAAAGCGGAGGAUCCCGCAAGGGGACUUCGCGCCUGAAGAGGAGCCUGCGGCAGAUUAGGUUGUUGGUGAGGUAAUGGCUCACCAAGCCUGCGAUCUGUAGCCGGCCGUGAGAGGGCGGUCGGCCACACUGACACUUGAAUACGGGUCAGACUCCUACGGGAGGCAGCAGUCGGGUAAUUUUGGGCAA